GCCUCUGUAGUGUAGUGGUUCAUCACGACGGAUUCUGAUUCCGUAAACCCUGGUUCGAUUCCAGGCAGGGGCU
This 73-nucleotide transfer RNA is filed under the name Rasamsonia emersonii. RNAcentral describes it as "tRNA-Gln". It matches the Rfam family "tRNA". From Rfam's summary of the family: Transfer RNA (tRNA) molecules are approximately 80 nucleotides in length. Their secondary structure includes four short double-helical elements and three loops (D, anti-codon, and T loops). Further hydrogen bonds mediate the characteristic L-shaped molecular structure. tRNAs have two regions of fundamental functional importance: the anti-codon, which is responsible for specific mRNA codon recognition, and the 3' end, to which the tRNAs corresponding amino acid is attached (by aminoacyl-tRNA synthetases). tRNAs cope with the degeneracy of the genetic code in two manners: having more than one tRNA (with a specific anti-codon) for a particular amino acid; and 'wobble' base-pairing, i.e. permitting non-standard base-pairing at the 3rd anti-codon position. Lineage: Eukaryota; Fungi; Ascomycota; Eurotiomycetes; Eurotiales; Trichocomaceae. RNAcentral also lists the same sequence under 1 other name. The record is from RNAcentral.